AACGAACGCUGGCGGCAUGCCUAACACAUGCAAGUCGAACGAUGGUCUUCGGAUCAUAGUGGCGCACGGGUGCGUAACGCGUGGGAAUCUGCCCUUGGGUUCGGAAUAACAGUUGGAAACGACUGCUAAUACCGGAUGAUGUCGAUAAGACCAAAGAUUUAUCGCCCGAGGAUGAGCCCGCGUCGGAUUAGCUAGUUGGUGGGGUAAAGGCCUACCAAGGCGACGAUCCGUAGCUGGUCUGAGAGGAUGAUCAGCCACACUGGGACUGAGACACGGCCCAGACUCCUACGGGAGGCAGCAGUGGGGAAUAUUGGACAAUGGGCGCAAGCCUGAUCCAGCAAUGCCGCGUGAGUGAUGAAGGCUUUAGGGUUGUAAAGCUCUUUUACCCGGGAAGAUAAUGACUGUACCGGGAGAAUAAGCCCCGGCUAACUCCGUG
This 436-nucleotide ribosomal RNA is filed under the name uncultured bacterium. RNAcentral's name for it is "partial 16S ribosomal RNA". It matches the Rfam family "Bacterial small subunit ribosomal RNA", at positions 29 to 507 of the family's 1533-position model. The record is from RNAcentral.